This 433-nucleotide ribosomal RNA is filed under the name uncultured bacterium. Its description in RNAcentral is "partial 16S ribosomal RNA". It matches the Rfam family "Bacterial small subunit ribosomal RNA", at positions 29 to 507 of the family's 1533-position model. The record is from RNAcentral.
AGCGAACGCUGGCGGCAGGCCUAACACAUGCAAGUCGAACGAACUCUUCGGAGUUAGUGGCGGACGGGUGAGUAACACGUGGGAACGUGCCUUUUGGUUCGGAAUAACUCAGGGAAACUUGUGCUAAUACCGAAUGUGCUCUUCGGGGGAAAGAUUUAUCGCCAUUAGAGCGGCCCGCGUCUGAUUAGCUAGUUGGUGAGGUAACGGCUCACCAAGGCGACGAUCAGUAGCUGGUCUGAGAGGAUGACCAGCCACACUGGGACUGAGACACGGCCCAGACUCGUACGGGAGGCAGCAGUGGGGAAUCUUGCGCAAUGGGCGAAAGCCUGACGCAGCCAUGCCGCGUGAAUGAUGAAGGUCUUAGGAUUGUAAAAUUCUUUCACCGGGGACGAUAAUGACGGUACCCGGAGAAGAAGCCCCGGCUAACUUCGUG